Molecule: long non-coding RNA, 1913 nt
Organism: Triticum dicoccoides
Lineage: Eukaryota; Viridiplantae; Streptophyta; Magnoliopsida; Poales; Poaceae
Exons: 6
Source: RefSeq, a predicted model, not a curated record
CCCAAUCCGUUUUUUGUUCAUAGAUUUCUGUUGUAGUUUAAUUUACUUGACAUUUUGCCAAGUCAUAGUUUUAGGACUAUCACAACAUAUGUAUACUUUGCACCCAUGUCCUCUGUCAAAUUUGUUCAGUUCAAAGCAUUAAUACUAUGACCAGCUAUCCAAUUUGCAGUCCAGAUAUAUUGUUUCCUUAACCAGCAAUGCAAAUUUGGGGCAGCUUCAAUUUUCUUGUCUGAUUUUAUUUUGCAAUCUAUAAUCUGAACUGAAAGACAGGGGUACAUGCGCUCAGGUUUUGUAGUUGACUAACCAUUAGUAAUGCAAAUUAGGAGCCCCUUUAAUUUCCGUGAGCUGCAAGUGCAGUUGACCAAUAAUCUCAUACUUGCUCAUAAGCUGGUGAACUGAAUCAACACACCUCUUUUGGUUCCAACAAAAAAAUUCCAUGCUUAGGACUAUAAAAUUACUUCUGUAUAAUGUUCAUAUGGGUCCGGAGGACAUUUUACACUUGAUGUUUACUUGUGCACGAGCGAAGCAAGUCUGAGCUGCCCUGGGUCUUCUAGAAAUUAUUGAAGAAGCGUCACGUAUCGAUAGAUCUGGAUCCUUUGUGUUGGAAGAGCUGCUGCGUCGGACUAUCAUAGUUCAUAUCAUAAUGUUGAUGCCUCUUUUGAUAUAUCGCUCAAAUAAGAUUAGGAGGAAGGGCAUCACACUCUCCGAGAGCAAACAAGAUACCACGUACCGAUCCUGAUUUAGAAUUAUGACAAGGAGUCAGGGACACAAUCAGAUUUAUACCAUCCGUUGUGAUGAUACAAGGAAAGUAAACACAUACGCAUAUUGUGUUCAACGUGAUGAUACAAGCGAAAGCUGGCCUACGCCGCCAACUAAUCUGCGGCAGCGUGGAAGGAGUGUUCAAAAGCAGCAGGAACAGUUGUUCCACUGCUGGUCGGAGGGAGAGCUUGGCAAGGGAGAUAGAGGGAGCUCUACAACCACGAUCUUGGCAUACAACCCGAUGGCAUCAUGCCCACUUAAGCUUCUUCCAUAUUCCAAUUCUUGCAUUUGUUGGUCUUUUACUGUCAGAGCUUACGAAAUCCAUUACAAAUGGAGGUGAGGCCAAGUCGUGAACUUGCUGAGACGUCUUUGCCUUGAAUUCUAAGGCUUGAAUCUAAAUGGAGGUGAGGCCAAGUCUUGAACGAAUACUAAGAGAUUUCACGAAUCCAUUAUUGCCUACAGAACAACAUCCUAGGGCCCUCCCAGUUUGAUUCUCUUUAUUUUGCUAUAUCUCAACUAUUACAUACAUCAUUUAUGCUCUGAAGCUAACCAUUGUAUGCUUUGAUUGGUUGGAGCGGCAAGGUUUUCCAGAUCCUGGGAGUCUAUCCCUUCCAACAAUCUGGAGGUAGCAUAGUACAUCCGUACUCGCAGAGGGAAUAUGUCUGAGCCGCCGUUAUGUGUUUCUACUAAUUAAAGAACAACUAGGGUCACUUGAAAGAAGACGAGCUGGAAGAAUUCCACGAUAGACCAUUGCUUCAAGGUUGGGAGCGGCCACAACAUAAUUGACAUCAAAACCAGAUCUGGGUCCUACAUAUCCGGUCUUGCUCGUAUCCUACAAUGGUUUACAGAUGGUGUGGCUCCUUGCACUAAGAUGAUCGAUCAGAGAUCUAGAGUCCUCAAUACAGAUCGAUGACGCCUCCUCAAGAUUCACUUCUUCGUAGCCCCCAACCUUGGUAUAGUAUAAAAACCUACAAAUAAAUCAGAAGAAUAGGCAAUUAUCGGAUGCUUAUGUUUGUUGGUGUAGUAGCCCUCUUAAGUCCAGUCCUAGAGAAGUGUGUCGUAGAAGCAUAUCAGGAAGACAUGGACGUGGAUAUGCAUUAUGGUUGUAUUAUGGACGUGGAAAUGGUCGCUAUAUUAGCUAUAUCUUUUACAUA